RNAcentral lists this ribosomal RNA (253 nucleotides) under uncultured bacterium. RNAcentral describes it as "partial 16S ribosomal RNA". It matches the Rfam family "Bacterial small subunit ribosomal RNA", at positions 524 to 776 of the family's 1533-position model. The record is from RNAcentral.
UACGCAGGGGGCUAGCGUUGUUCGGGAUUACUGGGCGUAAAGCGCACGUAGGCGGACUUGUAAGUCAGGGGUGAAAUCCCGGGGCUCAACCCCGGAACUGCCUUUGAUACUGCAAGUCUAGAGGUCGAGAGAGGUGAGUGGAAUUCCGAGUGUAGAGGUGAAAUUCGUAGAUAUUCGGAGGAACACCAGUGGCGAAGGCGGCUCACUGGCUCGAUACUGACGCUGAGGUGCGAAAGCUUCGAGAGCAAACAGG